GCAAUUCGCGGCCCUCUGGGUCGGAUACCACGCCGGGGGUAAAACCCUAGCGGUGCGGGGAGCAAUCUCCGCUUCAGGUUAUCGCUAACACCCGUGUCUACUACCUUUGUUGCUUUGGCAGGCCGCUUCGGCGCGGCUCCGGCCGUCUGUGCCUGCCAGAGGAUCCAAACUCUUUUUGUUUAGUGUCGUCUGAGUUAAAAUAUAAUCGUUA
Molecule: unclassified non-coding RNA, 211 nt
Filed under: uncultured fungus
Lineage: Eukaryota; Fungi
Description: sequence contains ITS1, 5.8S rRNA gene
Source: RNAcentral